ACGGGGGGUGCGAGCGUUGUCCGGAAUCACUGGGCGUAAAGGGCGCGUAGGUGGCUUUGUAAGUUUGCGGUGAAAGCCCGGGGCUCAACCCCGGGUCUGCCGUGGAUACUGCAAGGCUUGAGUACUGUAGAGGCAGGUAGAAUAUCGGGUGUAGCGGUGGAAUGCGUAGAGAUCCGAUAGAAGACCGGUGGCGAAGGCGGCCUGCUGGGCAGUAACUGACACUGAGGCGCGACAGCGUGGGGAGCAAACAGG
RNAcentral lists this ribosomal RNA (252 nucleotides) under uncultured bacterium. RNAcentral's name for it is "partial 16S ribosomal RNA". It matches the Rfam family "Bacterial small subunit ribosomal RNA", at positions 525 to 776 of the family's 1533-position model. The record is from RNAcentral.